CGGGGACCCGCACAAGCGGUGGAGCAUGUGGUUUAAUUCGAAGCAACGCGAAGAACCUUACCAAAUCUUGACAUCCUUUGACCGCUCUAGAGAUAGAGUUUUCCCCUUCGGGGGACAAAGUGACAGGUGGUGCAUGGUUGUCGUCAGCUCGUGUCGUGAGAUGUUGGGUUAAGUCCCGCAACGAGCGCAACCCUUAAGCUUAGUUGCCAUCAUUAAGUUGGGCACUCUAAGUUGACUGCCGGUGACAAACCGGAGGAAGGUGGGGAUGACGUCAAAUCAUCAUGCCCCUUAUGAUUUGGGCUACACACGUGCUACAAUGGACAAUACAAAGGGCAGCUAAACCGCGAGGUCAAGCAAAUCCCAUAAAGUUGUUCUCAGUUCGGAUUGUAGUCUGCAACUCGACUACAUGAAGCUGGAAUCGCUAGUAAUCGUAGAUCAGCAUGCUACGGUGAAUACGUUCCCGGGUCUUGUACACACCGCCCGUCACACCACGAGAGUUUGUAACACCCGAAGCCGGUGGAGUAACCAUUUAUGGAGCUAGCCGUCGAAGGUGGGACAAA
RNAcentral lists this ribosomal RNA (560 nucleotides) under Staphylococcus pasteuri. RNAcentral's name for it is "bacterial SSU rRNA". It matches the Rfam family "Bacterial small subunit ribosomal RNA", at positions 914 to 1471 of the family's 1533-position model. The record is from RNAcentral. Lineage: Bacteria; Bacillati; Bacillota; Bacilli; Caryophanales; Staphylococcaceae.